GGGUGACGGCGUGCCUUUUGAAGAAUGAGCCUGCGAGUUAGUGGCAUGUGGCGAGGUUAACCCGGGUGGGGGAGCCGUAGCGAAAGCGAGUCUGAAUAGGGCGUUAGAGUCGCGUGUCCUAGACCCGAAGCGGAGUGAUCUAGCCAUGGGCAGGCUGAAGCGUGGGUAAGACUGCGUGGAGGGCCGAACCCACCAACGUUGAAAAGUUGGGGGAUGACCUGUGGUUAGGGGUGAAAGGCCAAUCAAACUCCGUGAUAGCUGGUUCUCCCCGAAAUGCAUUUAGGUGCAGCGUCGUGUGUUUCUUGCCGGAGGUAGAGCACUGGAUGGUCUAGGGGGCCUACAAGCUUACCGAAAUCAGCCAAACUCCGAAUGCCGGUAAGUGAGAGCGCGGCAGUGAGACUGCGGGGGAUAAGCUUCGUAGUCGAGAGGGAAACAGCCCAGAUCACCAGCUAAGGCCCCUAAGCGUGUGCUAAGUGGAAAAGGAUGUGGGGUCGCAUAGACAACCAGGAGGUUGGCUUAGAAGCAGCCAUCCUUGAAAGAGUGCGUAAUAGCUCACUGGUCAAGUGGUUCCGCGCCGACAAUGUAGCGGGGCUCAAGCACACCGCCGAAGCUGUGGCAUUCACGCGUGUACUUCGCAUGGCCUUUGGGUUGUGUGUAGGUGUGUGGAUGGGUAGGGGAGCGUCGUGCCGGGGGUGAAGCAGCCGAGUGAUCGAGUUGUGGACACGGUGCGAGUGAGAAUGCAGGCAUGAGUAGCGAAAGAAGGGUGAGAAACCCUUCCGCCGGAUGACCAAGGGUUCCAGGGCCAGGUUAAUCCGCCCUGGGUGAGUCGGGGCCUAAGGCGAGGCCGAGAGGCGUAGUCGAUGGAUAACGGGUUGAUAUUCCCGUACCCGCGAAGGAGCGUCCCUGAUGAACCUCGUUGUGCUAACCAUCCGAGCUUGGUGUGGUCUUCGGACUGUGCUGGGGGAGCGUGGGAACCUGGCGGGUAGUAGUCAAGCGAUGGGGUGACGCAGGAAGGUAGCUGAGCCCGGCCGGUGGUUGUGCCGGGGUAAGCGUGUAGGCUGUGUCGUAGGUAAAUCCGCGGCGCGUGUGGCUGAGACGUGAUGCCGAGCCGAUUCAGGUGAAGUCAGUGAUCCUAUGCUGUCGAGAAAAGCCUCUAGCGAGUUCCGAGCGGCCCGUACCCUAAACCGACACAGGUGGUCAGGUAGAGAAUACCAAGGCGAUCGGGUGAACUGUGGUUAAGGAACUCGGCAAAUUGCCCCCGUAACUUUGGGAGAAGGGGGGCCGGAGACGUGAAGGCACGUGCUGCUGGAGCGUUGUAUGGCCGCAGAGAGCAGGGGGAAGCGACUGUUUACUAAAAACACAGGUCCAUGCGAAGAAGUAAUUCGAUGUAUAUGGACUGACGCCUGCCCGGUGCUGGAACGUUAAGGGGACCUGUUAGUCUUUCGGGGCGAAGCGGAGAACUUAAGCGCCAGUAAACGGCGGUGGUAACUAUAACCAUCCUAAGGUAGCGAAAUUCCUUGUCGGGUAAGUUCCGACCUGCACGAAUGGCGUAACGACUUCCCCACUGUCUCAACCACAGGCCCGGCGAAAUUGCAUUACGAGUAAAGAUGCUCGUUACGCGCGGCAGGACGGAAAGACCCCGGGACCUUUACUAUAGCUUGACAUUGGUAUCUGAAUUAGCUUGUGUAGGAUAGGUGGGAGCCGGUGAAGUGUGCACGCCAGUGCAUGUGGAGGCAAUCUUGAAAUACCACUCUGGUUGGUUUGGGUAUCUAACUUCGGACCGUUAUCCGGUUCAGGGACAGUGUCUGGUGGGUAGUUUAACUGGGGCGGUUGCCUCCUAAAGGGUAACGGAGGCGCCCAAAGGUUCCCUCAGCCUGGUUGGCAAUCAGGUGUUGAGUGUAAGUGCACAAGGGAGCUUGACUGUGAGACUGACGGGUCGAGCAGGGACGAAAGUCGGGACUAGUGAUCCGGCACUGGCGAAUGGAAGCGGUGUCGCUCAACGGAUAAAAGGUACCCCGGGGAUAACAGGCUGAUCUUCCCCAAGAGUCCAUAUCGACGGGAUGGUUUGGCACCUCGAUGUCGGCUCGUCGCAUCCUGGGGCUGUAGCAGGUCCCAAGGGUUGGGCUGUUCGCCCAUUAAAGCGGUACGCGAGCUGGGUUUAGAACGUCGUGAGACAGUUCGGUCCCUAUCCGCCGUGCGCGUAGGAUACUUGAGAAGGGCUGUCCCUAGUACGAGAGGACCGGGACGGACGAACCUCUGGUGUGCCAGUUGUCCCGCCAGGGGCACGGCUGGUUAGCUACGUUCGGAAGGGAUAACCGCUGAAAGCAUCUAAGCGGGAAGCCUGCUUCAAGAUGAGGUAUCCCAUCCACCUUUGG
This is a ribosomal RNA of 2375 nucleotides. It matches the Rfam family "Bacterial large subunit ribosomal RNA", at positions 591 to 2826 of the family's 2925-position model.